Molecule: unclassified non-coding RNA, 197 nt
Filed under: uncultured fungus
Lineage: Eukaryota; Fungi
Description: sequence contains ITS1
Source: RNAcentral
UUAAGUUAUUUGUUAUAUUACUCAGACAACACAAAAAUCAAGAGUUUAGGGUUCUCUGGCAGGCACAGACCAGCCUAAGCCGGUGGUCAAAAGACGGGCCUGCCAAAGCAACAAAGGUAAUAUAAACAAAGGGUGGGAGAUCUACCCCAAGGGGCAAUUUCUCUGUAAUGAUCCUUCCGCAGGUUCACCUACGGAAA